This 120-nucleotide ribosomal RNA is filed under the name Helianthus annuus (common sunflower). Lineage: Eukaryota; Viridiplantae; Streptophyta; Magnoliopsida; Asterales; Asteraceae. The record is from RNAcentral.
GGUUGCGAUCAUACCAGCACUAAUGCACCGGAUCCCAUCAGAACUCCGCAGUUAAGCGUGCUUGGGCGAGAGUAGUACUAGGAUGGGUGACCCCCCUGGGAAGUCCUCGUGUUGCAACCC